Odocoileus virginianus texanus is the source of this 284-nucleotide long non-coding RNA. RefSeq lists it as uncharacterized. Lineage: Eukaryota; Metazoa; Chordata; Mammalia; Artiodactyla; Cervidae. The record is from RefSeq and is a predicted model, not a curated record.
CAUAGUCCUAAUGCCUAGCUCUAAUCCAUCAAGGUUUGCCAUGUCAUAAUUGCCUGGUUAUUUGGAUGAUGGAUGCGUCAUAUCUGAAAACAAACUAGUUAUCGUGUGAAAUUUAUUUCAACAUGCAUUAUCUAAACCACCAAAAAUGAGAACACUGCAUGGAUAAAUAUGAUGGAUUUAGAAGCACAAUGCUCAGAAUUCCCUGGAGACCCGUGAAAGCUUCUGUGUGGAGGUGCCCAUUGUCGCCGCACACUUAGGCCAGUUUAUCAAAGUAACGAGCUCAA